GUGCUUACUUUGGCAGCAUAUAUACUAAAAUAGGAAUGAUACAGAGAAGAUUAGCAUGGCCCCAGGGCAAGGAUGACAGCAAAUUGGUGAAAGGUUCUAUACAUAUAU
Molecule: small nuclear RNA, 108 nt
Organism: Choloepus hoffmanni (Hoffmann's two-fingered sloth)
Lineage: Eukaryota; Metazoa; Chordata; Mammalia; Pilosa; Megalonychidae
Source: Ensembl